This 393-nucleotide ribosomal RNA is filed under the name uncultured bacterium. RNAcentral describes it as "partial 16S ribosomal RNA". It matches the Rfam family "Bacterial small subunit ribosomal RNA", at positions 523 to 918 of the family's 1533-position model. The record is from RNAcentral.
AUACGGAGGAUCCGAGCGUUAUCCGGAUUUACUGGGCGUAAAGGGCGUGUAGGCGGUUUGCUAAGCGGGAGGUGAAAUGCCGGCGCUCAACGUCGGAAGUGCCUCCCGAACUGGUGGACUGGAAUGACUCUGCCGUGGGAGGAAUGUGUAGUGGAGCGGUGAAAUGCUUAGAGAUUACACAGAACACCGAUUGCGAAGGCAUCUCACGAAGGGUUGAUUGACGCUGAGGCACGAAAGCGUGGGGAUCAAACAGGAUUAGAUACCCUGGUAGUCCACGCAGUAAACGAUGAUGGCUGACCGCUGGUUUAUUCGGAUCAGUGGCCAAGCGAAAGCGAUAAGCCAUCCACCUGGGGAGUACGACCGCAAGGUUGAAACUCAAAUGAAUUGGCGGGG